GGAGAGGUUUAAACCCGAACCACAACUGUGAGUUGAACAUCCACCACUUGCACAUAAUGUCGAGUUUAUACUGCCAUUUUCCAACUCUUUGCGCGUAUGGAGGUGUUGACGAAGUAGGGUUUAGUAGGUGACUCUAAUUAAUGGGCAAAUGGUCAACUAAACCAAAAGAUUCGAUGUUAACUUAUGAUUGCAAUCUGGAAAGCGUCGAACGCACACUUCCAACAGAGGAAGACUCAAACGCUUACUUUUACUUAUCUUCAAGAAUCGCCAAUCAAUCACAAUCUUAGGCUUUCCACGGUAGUUUGAGUGAGCGUGAUACUUAUAUAUAAAAAUCAGGCAAUUCGAGUUUGAUAUCUAUAAUAUUAUUGAUGCACUAGUAUAAGUUCAAGAUGUUGAUAUCACACUUAUGAGUUCAAUAUGUUAGAAUCACACUCAAAUUUUCCGAUGCACUAUAAAGUGUAAUUCGUAUAUAAGUUCAAUAUAUUUGUAUCACACUCACUUUUCCAACCUGACCUUUAUAAAAUCAAAUUGUUGACCACGCCCAUUACAAUCCAAAGAUAAAUGAGUCAUGACCUAAAAGUCUAUGCAGAUAAGUUUCACACACGUAUACUAACAUUCUUUCAACUCCUUUAUGCUUAUAAUUUAUAUGGAACUUUAGCGAAAGGCUCUCGGUA
This 674-nucleotide long non-coding RNA is filed under the name Malus domestica (apple). RNAcentral's name for it is "long non-coding RNA (MDOM_LNC001241)". Lineage: Eukaryota; Viridiplantae; Streptophyta; Magnoliopsida; Rosales; Rosaceae. The record is from RNAcentral.